UACCCUACGGGACGCAGCAGUGAGGAAUAUUGGUCAAUGGGCGGGAGCCUGAACCAGCCAAGUCGCGUGAGGGACGACGGUCCUAUGGAUUGUAAACCUCUUUUGUCGGGGAACAAAGGCGCCCACGGGUGGGCGGAUGAGUGUACCUGAAGAAAAAGCAUCGGCUAACUCCGUGCCAGCAGCCGCGGUAAUACGGAGGAUGCGAGCGUUAUCCGGAUUUAUUGGGUUUAAAGGGUGCGUAGGCGGAAUAUCAAGUCAGCGGUAAAAAUUCGGGGCUCAACCCC
This 284-nucleotide ribosomal RNA is filed under the name uncultured bacterium. RNAcentral's name for it is "partial 16S ribosomal RNA". It matches the Rfam family "Bacterial small subunit ribosomal RNA", at positions 335 to 616 of the family's 1533-position model. The record is from RNAcentral.